This 427-nucleotide ribosomal RNA is filed under the name uncultured bacterium. RNAcentral's name for it is "bacterial SSU rRNA". It matches the Rfam family "Bacterial small subunit ribosomal RNA", at positions 355 to 775 of the family's 1533-position model. The record is from RNAcentral.
UGGGGAAUCUUGCGCAAUGGACGAAAGUCUGACGCAGCGACGCCGCGUGGGUGAUGAAGGCCUUCGGGUUGUAAAGCCCUGUGGGGAGGGACGAAUAAGUCAUGGCUAAUAUCCAUGGUGAUGACGGUACCUCUUUAGCAAGCACCGGCUAACUCUGUGCCAGCAGCCGCGGUAAGACAGAGGGUGCAAACGUUGUUCGGAAUUACUGGGCGUAAAGCGCGUGUAGGCGGUGCGGUAAGUCGGGUGUGAAAGCCCUGGGCUCAACCCAGGAAGUGCAUUCGAUACUACCGUACUAGAGUCCCGGAGAGGUUGGUGGAACUCUCGGUGUAGAGGUGAAAUUCGUAGAUAUCGAGAAGAACACCGGUGGCGAAGGCGGCCAACUGGACGGUGACUGACGCUGAGACGCGAAAGCGUGGGGAGCAAACAG